ACACAUCUCAAAGAACAACCAUUAGAGACAGGUCCACUUGGGGAGUCUCCCACAGCUGGUACAUGAAUCUGGCCAUGUCCGGAGACAGCAAACACUGAUGGUGGUCAGGGAAGAAUUGCUCAGCUGAUCUGCCAAUGAAUUCUGCACUCCUGGAAGCUUCUAAAAACUCUGAGCUGAGAACCUCUUGCGAUCCACCUCCAUGAUAGGUUUCUCUAGGACUGGACAAUCAGAUCCUUAACUAUUCUGCUGACAAUGCACAAGAAGGAAUAUAAUCCUGCUCUUUCUCCCACCGCUAUAUAAGCCCUGUAGUAUUAGCACAAGUAGUAAAAAUCUAUUUUGUUACUGAAGUGAGCACCUAUCAUAGAAUAUACACCAUGUGCACCUCUGAGUAAAAUGGAGCCAUUUUCACACAGCCUUUUCAAGUACCAACCACACAUUAAUUGAAUACACCUGAUUUUCAGAUGGACGGCACCUGGAAACUGGGAGGAUUCAUCAGCUGCAAGGAGACAAAGGGAUUGAUUGCUGGUCUGAAUGCAAGUUGAAAGAUUCAUGGAGACGGCAAAACUGAAGACUCCCUGUCCAAGCAUGGAGCUGAGGAACCAAUGUGUCAUUACACACGAUGGGUGCUGUGUACCAUUACUGUCACAGAAUUUCUGCCAUCAUUACAUACAAACUAGGAGGCCUUGUAGAUGAGCUGAAGCCUUCUUAACUUUUCUGGGAUUGUUUAGUAGAGAGUCAAGCACUACAAUAAGGCCUUGAAUCUACAAAAAUCUCUUCUUGGACAGAAUUUUUUCUACGUUUCUUCUAACUUUUGUUUCUCUCUCUAGAACUAUUUCUAUUAUACAUUUUUCAA
Long non-coding RNA from Mauremys reevesii (Reeves's turtle), 853 nucleotides. RefSeq lists it as uncharacterized. The transcript has 5 exons. Lineage: Eukaryota; Metazoa; Chordata; Testudines; Geoemydidae. The record is from RefSeq and is a predicted model, not a curated record.